This 1055-nucleotide ribosomal RNA is filed under the name Klebsiella pneumoniae. RNAcentral's name for it is "partial 23S ribosomal RNA". It matches the Rfam family "Bacterial large subunit ribosomal RNA", at positions 447 to 1509 of the family's 2925-position model. The record is from RNAcentral. Lineage: Bacteria; Pseudomonadati; Pseudomonadota; Gammaproteobacteria; Enterobacterales; Enterobacteriaceae.
GGGGGACCAUCCUCCAAGGCUAAAUACUCCUGACUGACCGAUAGUGAACCAGUACCGUGAGGGAAAGGCGAAAAGAACCCCGGCGAGGGGAGUGAAAAAGAACCUGAAACCGUGUACGUACAAGCAGUGGGAGCACCUUCGGGUGUGACUGCGUACCUUUUGUAUAAUGGGUCAGCGACUUAUAUUCUGUAGCAAGGUUAACCGUAUAGGGGAGCCGCAGGGAAACCGAGUCUUAACUGGGCGUUAAGUUGCAGGGUAUAGACCCGAAACCCGGUGAUCUAGCCAUGGGCAGGUUGAAGGUUGGGUAACACUAACUGGAGGACCGAACCGACUAAUGUUGAAAAAUUAGCGGAUGACUUGUGGCUGGGGGUGAAAGGCCAAUCAAACCGGGAGAUAGCUGGUUCUCCCCGAAAGCUAUUUAGGUAGCGCCUCGUGAACUCAUCUUCGGGGGUAGAGCACUGUUUCGGCUAGGGGGUCAUCCCGACUUACCAACCCGAUGCAAACUACGAAUACCGAAGAAUGUUAUCACGGGAGACACACGGCGGGUGCUAACGUCCGUCGUGAAGAGGGAAACAACCCAGACCGCCAGCUAAGGUCCCAAAGUCAUGGUUAAGUGGGAAACGAUGUGGGAAGGCACAGACAGCCAGGAUGUUGGCUUAGAAGCAGCCAUCAUUUAAAGAAAGCGUAAUAGCUCACUGGUCGAGUCGGCCUGCGCGGAAGAUGUAACGGGGCUAAACCAUGCACCGAAGCUGCGGCAGCGACACUAUGUGUUGUUGGGUAGGGGAGCGUUCUGUAAGCCUGCGAAGGUGUGCUGUGAGGCAUGCUGGAGGUAUCAGAAGUGCGAAUGCUGACAUAAGUAACGAUAAAGCGGGUGAAAAGCCCGCUCGCCGGAAGACCAAGGGUUCCUGUCCAACGUUAAUCGGGGCAGGGUGAGUCGACCCCUAAGGCGAGGCCGAAAGGCGUAGUCGAUGGGAAACAGGUUAAUAUUCCUGUACUUGGUGUUACUGCGAAGGGGGGACGGAGAAGGCUAUGUUAGCCGGGCGACGGUUGUCCCG